AGGACGAUGAACGAUUCACCGAAAACUAAAAUACAAAAUAAAGUUGAUACAGAUUUAAAUUUAAAAGUCGUUUGAGUUUGAUCAUGGCUCAGAUUGAACGCUGGCGGCAGGCCUAACACAUGCAAGUCGAACGGUAACAGGAAGCAGCUUGCUGCUUUGCUGACGAGUGGCGGACGGGUGAGUAAUGUCUGGGAAACUGCCUGAUGGAGGGGGAUAACUACUGGAAACGGUGGCUAAUACCGCAUAACGUCGCAAGACCAAAGAGGGGGACCUUCGGGCCUCUUGCCAUCAGAUGUGCCCAGAUGGGAUUAGCUUGUUGGUGAGGUAACGGCUCACCAAGGCGACGAUCCCUAGCUGGUCUGAGAGGAUGACCAGCCACACUGGAACUGAGACACGGUCCAGACUCCUACGGGAGGCAGCAGUGGGGAAUAUUGCACAAUGGGCGCAAGCCUGAUGCAGCCAUGCCGCGUGUAUGAAGAAGGCCUUCGGGUUGUAAAGUACUUUCAGCGGGGAGGAAGGUGUUGUGGUUAAUAACCGCAGCAAUUGACGUUACCCGCAGAAGAAGCACCGGCUAACUCCGUGCCAGCAGCCGCGGUAAUACGGAGGGUGCAAGCGUUAAUCGGAAUUACUGGGCGUAAAGCGCACGCAGGCGGUCUGUCAAGUCGGAUGUGAAAUCCCCGGGCUCAACCUGGGAACUGCAUUCGAAACUGGCAGGCUUGAGUCUUGUAGAGGGGGGUAGAAUUCCAGGUGUAGCGGUGAAAUGCGUAGAGAUCUGGAGGAAUACCGGUGGCGAAGGCGGCCCCCUGGACAAAGACUGACGCUCAGGUGCGAAAGCGUGGGGAGCAAACAGGAUUAGAUACCCUGGUAGUCCACGCCGUAAACGAUGUCUACUUGGAGGUUGUGCCCUUGAGGCGUGGCUUCCGGAGCUAACGCGUUAAGUAGACCGCCUGGGGAGUACGGCCGCAAGGUUAAAACUCAAAUGAAUUGACGGGGGCCCGCACAAGCGGUGGAGCAUGUGGUUUAAUUCGAUGCAACGCGAAGAACCUUACCUGGUCUUGACAUCCACAGAACUUUCCAGAGAUGGAUUGGUGCCUUCGGGAACUGUGAGACAGGUGCUGCAUGGCUGUCGUCAGCUCGUGUUGUGAAAUGUUGGGUUAAGUCCCGCAACGAGCGCAACCCUUAUCCUUUGUUGCCAGCGGUCCGGCCGGGAACUCAAAGGAGACUGCCAGUGAUAAACUGGAGGAAGGUGGGGAUGACGUCAAGUCAUCAUGGCCCUUACGACCAGGGCUACACACGUGCUACAAUGGCGCAUACAAAGAGAAGCGACCUCGCGAGAGCAAGCGGACCUCAUAAAGUGCGUCGUAGUCCGGAUUGGAGUCUGCAACUCGACUCCAUGAAGUCGGAAUCGCUAGUAAUCGUGGAUCAGAAUGCCACGGUGAAUACGUUCCCGGGCCUUGUACACACCGCCCGUCACACCAUGGGAGUGGGUUGCAAAAGAAGUAGGUAGCUUAACCUUCGGGAGGGCGCUUACCACUUUGUGAUUCAUGACUGGGGUGAAUCUAAGGGGGGAACCCCCAAAAAAAGAAG
This 1587-nucleotide ribosomal RNA is filed under the name Salmonella enterica subsp. enterica serovar Typhi. RNAcentral describes it as "bacterial SSU rRNA". It matches the Rfam family "Bacterial small subunit ribosomal RNA". Lineage: Bacteria; Pseudomonadati; Pseudomonadota; Gammaproteobacteria; Enterobacterales; Enterobacteriaceae. The record is from RNAcentral.